Molecule: ribosomal RNA, 492 nt
Filed under: uncultured bacterium
Lineage: Bacteria
Description: partial 16S ribosomal RNA
Rfam family: Bacterial small subunit ribosomal RNA
Source: RNAcentral
AGUGAACGCUGGCGGUAGGCCUAACACAUGCAAGUCGAACGGCAGCACAGUAAGAGCUUGCUCUUACGGGUGGCGAGUGGCGGACGGGUGAGGAAUACAUCGGAAUCUACUUUUUCGUGGGGGAUAACGUAGGGAAACUUACGCUAAUACCGCAUACGACCUACGGGUGAAAGCAGGGGAUCUUCGGACCUUGCGCGAUUGAAUGAGCCGAUGUCGGUUUAGCUAGUUGGCGGGGUAAAGGCCCACCAAGGCGACGAUCCGUAGCCGGUCUGAGAGGAUGGUCGGCCACACUGGAACUGAGACACGGUCCAGACUCCUACGGGAGGCAGCAGUGGGGAAUAUUGGACAAUGGGCGCAAGCCUGAUCCAGCCAGACCGAGUGGGUGAAGAAGGCCUUCGGGUUGUAAAGCCCUUUUGUUGGGAAAGAAAAGCAGCAGGUUAAUACCCCGCUGUUCUGACGGUACCCAAAGAAUAAGCACCGGCUAACUUCGUG